AUUGAACGCUGGCGGCAUGCUUUACACAUGCAAGUCGAACGGCAGCGCGGGGCAACCUGGCGGCGAGUGGCGAACGGGUGAGUAAUAUAUCGGAACGUACCCAGAAGUGGGGGAUAACGUAGCGAAAGUUACGCUAAUACCGCAUACGAUCUACGGAUGAAAGUCGGGGACCGCAAGGCCUUAUGCUUUUGGAGCGGCCGAUAUCUGAUUAGCUAGUUGGUGAGGUAAAGGCUCACCAAGGCGACGAUCAGUAGCUGGUCUGAGAGGACGACCAGCCACACUGGAACUGAGACACGGUCCAGACUCCUACGGGAGGCAGCAGUGGGGAAUUUUGGACAAUGGGCGCAAGCCUGAUCCAGCAAUGCCGCGUGAGUGAAGAAGGCCUUCGGGUUGUAAAGCUCUUUUGUCAGGGAAGAAACGGUAGAGGCUAAUAUCCUUUGCUAAUGACGGUACCUGAAGAAUAAGCACCGGCUAACUACGUG
This 482-nucleotide ribosomal RNA is filed under the name uncultured bacterium. RNAcentral describes it as "partial 16S ribosomal RNA". It matches the Rfam family "Bacterial small subunit ribosomal RNA", at positions 30 to 507 of the family's 1533-position model. The record is from RNAcentral.